RNAcentral lists this ribosomal RNA (490 nucleotides) under uncultured bacterium. RNAcentral's name for it is "partial 16S ribosomal RNA". It matches the Rfam family "Bacterial small subunit ribosomal RNA", at positions 29 to 507 of the family's 1533-position model. The record is from RNAcentral.
AGUGAACGCUGGCGGUAGGCCUAACACAUGCAAGUCGAACGGCAGCACAGGAGAGCUUGCUCUCUAGGUGGCGAGUGGCGGACGGGUGAGGAAUACAUCGGAAUCUGCCCAGUCGUGGGGGAUAACGUAGGGAAACUUACGCUAAUACCGCAUACGACCUUCGGGUGAAAGAGGGGGAUCGCAAGACCUCUCGCGAUUGGAUGAGCCGAUGUCGGAUUAGCUAGUUAGCGGGGUAAUGGCCCACCAAGGCGACGAUCCGUAGCUGGUCUGAGAGGAUGAUCAGCCACACUGGAACUGAGACACGGUCCAGACUCCUACGGGGGGCAGCAGUGGGGAAUAUUGGACAAUGGGCGCAAGCCUGAUCCAGCCAUACCGCGUGGGUGAAGAAGGCCUUCGGGUUGUAAAGCCCUUUUGUUGGGAAAGAAAUCUUUCAGGCUAAUACCCUGGGAGGAUGACGGUACCCAAAGAAUAAGCACCGGCUAACUUCGUG